GAUGAACGCUGGCGGCGUGCCUAAUACAUGCAAGUCGAGCGAACGGACGAGGAGCUUGCUUUUCUGAUGUUAGCGGCGGACGGGUGAGUAACACGUGGAUAACCUACCUAUAAGACUGGGAUAACUUCGGGAAACCGGAGCUAAUACCGGAUAAUAUUUUGAACCGCAUGGUUCAAUAGUGAAAGACGGUCUUGCUGUCACUUAUAGAUGGAUCCGCGCUGCAUUAGCUAGUUGGUAAGGUAACGGCUUACCAAGGCAACGAUGCGUAGCCGACCUGAGAGGGUGAUCGGCCACACUGGAACUGAGACACGGUCCAGACUCCUACGGGAGGCAGCAGUAGGGAAUCUUCCGCAAUGGGCGAAAGCCUGACGGAGCAACGCCGCGUGAGUGAUGAAGGUCUUCGGAUCGUAAAACUCUGUUAUUAGGGAAGAACAUAUGUGUAAGUAACUGUGCACGUCUUGACGGUACCUAAUCAGAAAGCCACGGCUAACUACGUG
RNAcentral lists this ribosomal RNA (497 nucleotides) under uncultured bacterium. RNAcentral describes it as "partial 16S ribosomal RNA". It matches the Rfam family "Bacterial small subunit ribosomal RNA", at positions 28 to 507 of the family's 1533-position model. The record is from RNAcentral.